AUUGAACGCUGGCGGCAGGCCUAACACAUGCAAGUCGAGCGGAUGAAGGGAGCUUGCUCCUGGAUUCAGCGGCGGACGGGUGAGUAAUGCCUAGGAAUCUGCCUGGUAGUGGGGGAUAACGUCCGGAAACGGGCGCUAAUACCGCAUACGUCCUGAGGGAGAAAGUGGGGGAUCUUCGGACCUCACGCUAUCAGAUGAGCCUAGGUCGGAUUAGCUAGUUGGUGGGGUAAAGGCCUACCAAGGCGACGAUCCGUAACUGGUCUGAGAGGAUGAUCAGUCACACUGGAACUGAGACACGGUCCAGACUCCUACGGGAGGCAGCGGUGGGGAAUAUUGGACAAUGGGCGAAAGCCUGAUCAGCCAUGCCGCGUGUGUGAAGAAGGUCUUCGGAUUGUAAAGCACUUUAAGUUGGGAGGAAGGGCAGUAAGUUAAUACCUUGCUGUUUUGACGUUACCAACAGAAUAAGCACCGGCUAACUUCGUG
RNAcentral lists this ribosomal RNA (483 nucleotides) under uncultured bacterium. Its description in RNAcentral is "partial 16S ribosomal RNA". It matches the Rfam family "Bacterial small subunit ribosomal RNA", at positions 30 to 507 of the family's 1533-position model. The record is from RNAcentral.